AGCAGUAGGGGAAAGUACUUUCCGGUCCAAAUAGGGGGGCGAACCCUGACCGAGCAACGCCGCGUGAGUGAAGAAGGGUUUCGGCUCGUAAAGCUCUGUUGUUAAAGAAGAACACGUAUGAGAGUAACUGUUCAUACGUUGACGGUAUUUAACCAGAAAGUCACGGCUAACUACGUGCCAG
RNAcentral lists this ribosomal RNA (181 nucleotides) under uncultured bacterium. RNAcentral describes it as "partial 16S rRNA". It matches the Rfam family "Bacterial small subunit ribosomal RNA", at positions 344 to 511 of the family's 1533-position model. The record is from RNAcentral.